Molecule: long non-coding RNA, 1114 nt
Organism: Zophobas morio
Lineage: Eukaryota; Metazoa; Arthropoda; Insecta; Coleoptera; Tenebrionidae
Exons: 6
Source: RefSeq, a predicted model, not a curated record
CUUUUGUUUAACGAGGCGGGAGCAGACUACUAGUGCAACAAGAGGCCUUGGCUUAACAUGUACUAAUGUGAGCUCUCAAAGGUCACUAGUGAAAGGAUUGCCAGGUUAGCUGUUCUCAUUGAAUUUCUCAUUAGUGUAUUCCAGAUAUCACUCAACACGAUAGGACAAUUAAUCCAAGCGAGCUACUCAAAACCUUAGCUACAAAACUGAUUCAAAACCGCACUGCGGGGCUCGUGAUGAACCAUUGGUGGGCUGUGUCUGCAGAAAGUUAGCCCUGUUUGGACAACUAAACAGGCGACUGCGUAGCAGGGUUCCAUGAUAAGAUCCCCAGGCUGAUCUCGCAAAACGCACGAAAAAGAUCACGCCUCUAUAUUAAAUUGAGCAGUACUGAUUUUUGUUAGUUUGUGCCGAACUCUAGGGAGGGCUGUAGUUGUCAUCUUUGGCUACAGUGCUGAUCCGUCACGGUGUAUAUCCAUCUGCCGGUGAAUGCAACGUUCAUUUUAGUUACGAAAGAUCUUUGUGAUAUUUAGUAGCCCGCUAUGAUGCUUGUGGUCUUCUGUUGUGCGUUGAGACAUAAAGUAAAAAAUUAACAUUGGAAUCAUUACAAAACAAUCAUUAUAUGGUUGCCUUGCGAAGGUACAUAGUUAUUAGGGUGGGCGUUGUCCGCAGAGAGAUAGAGAGUUGUGUGAUGUACGGUUCGAAAGAACUGCUCUUAAUAAUGGUAAAAACUAACUACAGACUUGGGUAGGUCUUACUUUACCUAUGGCCUUAACCUAUUUUAUUUAGAGCUAUGAUGGUCGAUGGAAUAGAGCUGUGCAACGUAUUUAUGAUGAUGUGAGAUGCUACUCUAGAUAUACUACUGUGCUUCCUGGCCUUUGCUCCUCGCGCUUUUCUACUUGGGGCGGUGUGCUACCCCUCGGCUAAGUAAUGCUAACCCGUUUGCUUUAAUGAAUAAUUGCGGAUGAAAGCUUCAGUCAAUACCUGUUAUUAUAAUAAAUGGUAAGUAAAAAACACUGCUAGCAUGAAUCUAAGUGCAUGCGAAAUCCGAACUGGUAGAAUACAUAGUGCUGUGAUCACUUUGUGUGCGAAGUUAAAUAAAGUCUGCUUCCAGUAA